AACAGGAUUAGAUACCCUGGUAGUCCACGCCGUAAACGAUGUCGACUUGGAGGUUGUUCCCUUGAGGAGUGGCUUCCGGAGCUAACGCGUUAAGUCGACCGCCUGGGGAGUACGGCCGCAAGGUUAAAACUCAAAUGAAUUGACGGGGGCCCGCACAAGCGGUGGAGCAUGUGGUUUAAUUCGAUGCAACGCGAAGAACCUUACCUACUCUUGACAUCCAGAGAACUUUCCAGAGAUGGAUUGGUGCCUUCGGGAACUCUGAGACAGGUGCUGCAUGGCUGUCGUCAGCUCGUGUUGUGAAAUGUUGGGUUAAGUCCCGCAACGAGCGCAACCCUUAUCCUUUGUUGCCAGCGAUUCGGUCGGGAACUCAAAGGAGACUGCCGGUGAUAAACCGGAGGAAGGUGGGGAUGACGUCAAGUCAUCAUGGCCCUUACGAGUAGGGCUACACACGUGCUACAAUGGCGCAUACAAAGAGAAGCGACCUCGCGAGAGCAAGCGGACCUCAUAAAGUACGUCGUAGUCCGGAUUGGAGUCUGCAACUCGACUCCAUGAAGUCGGAAUCGCUAGUAAUCGUAGAUCAGAAUGCUACGGUGAAUACGUUCCCGGGCCUUGUACACACCGCCCGUCACACCAUGGGAGUGGGUUGCAAAAGAAGUAGGUAGCUUAACCUUCGGGAGGGCGCUUACCACUUUGUGAUUCAUGACUGGGGUGAAGUCGUAACAAGGUAACC
This 730-nucleotide ribosomal RNA is filed under the name uncultured bacterium. Its description in RNAcentral is "bacterial SSU rRNA". It matches the Rfam family "Bacterial small subunit ribosomal RNA", at positions 771 to 1501 of the family's 1533-position model. The record is from RNAcentral.